Non-coding RNA from Pelobates cultripes (western spadefoot toad), 223 nucleotides. The record is from the annotation of a GenBank genome assembly. NCBI's taxonomy places the organism in Eukaryota, Metazoa, Chordata, Amphibia, Anura, Pelobatidae.
GACGGCUCUGAUUGAUAGCUUGCCAUUUACAAAAUAACUCCAAAGGAUCUAGCUACUCAAAGACACAAGAAAUAUAAGGCCUGCAAUAGCUGUAUAGCUGUGCUCCAAGUUGUUUAAUAAUUUAAUAGAAAUUGCUCUGACGAUACUGUAACAUUUUCUCUCAUAAAAAUCUCAGUGGGAAAAUCAGUGUAUUCCGUGUGAAAUACAUAAAAAAAUUUAAAGG